RNAcentral lists this transfer RNA (72 nucleotides) under Camelus bactrianus (Bactrian camel). It matches the Rfam family "tRNA". Rfam says of the family: Transfer RNA (tRNA) molecules are approximately 80 nucleotides in length. Their secondary structure includes four short double-helical elements and three loops (D, anti-codon, and T loops). Lineage: Eukaryota; Metazoa; Chordata; Mammalia; Artiodactyla; Camelidae. RNAcentral also lists the same sequence under 1 other name. The record is from Rfam by way of RNAcentral.
GGUGGUAUAGCUCAGUGGUGGAGGGCAUGCUUAGCAUGUACAAGGUCCUGGAUUCAGUCCCCAGUACCUCCU